GCAUGUCGUUCGUGAUCGUACCAUCGUAAAGGAGGCUCGUACGACAAGAAGCAAUGGAAAUUGGAAGUAGCAGCAGCAGCUAUAUCAUCAGAAGCGGCAAAUAUCAAUUGUUAAAUUUUAUCACUAUUUAAUUAAUCUUUGCUUUCAGAGAAAAUUAAUUUUUAUUUAAUAUAUUUUAUUCUGUCAGAUAAUAUUAUUUUUUUUUUACAGAUAUUAUUAUCAUUUUAUAAAAUUAAUCUUUCUUUUUCUUUUAGAUAUUACAAAUUCAAUGUAAUUAUUAUUUAUUUUCAGGUGUUAAUAAUAUUUAUUUUAUUUUCAGGUAUUUGUCUUUAAUAAUAUUUGUCCACUCUUUUAUUUUCAGGUAUUAAUAAUCUUUAUUUUAUUUUCAGGUAUUUGUGUUUUAUAAUAUUUUUCCACUC
This is a long non-coding RNA of Bactrocera neohumeralis, 419 nucleotides long. RefSeq lists it as uncharacterized. Lineage: Eukaryota; Metazoa; Arthropoda; Insecta; Diptera; Tephritidae. The record is from RefSeq and is a predicted model, not a curated record. The transcript is spliced from 3 exons.